GGCCUAUACCUUUUCUGGGAGAAAGGAUGCACCUAACAUCCUAACCAAAACAGAACUUUACAUUCUGUGGUGUAUGCACACACAACAGAAAAUUCACUUAGGAUAUUGGGUAGCAACACAAAUCUCAAGCAUCAUACAAUACAAUAGGCCACUGAUCUUUGGGCAUCUGAUCACUGCCAUAGCAGUGAAUCAGAAGCUGUUACACCCUGCCCAUACUGACCUCACCCCCACUGGUAAGCAAA
RNAcentral lists this long non-coding RNA (242 nucleotides) under Manihot esculenta (cassava). RNAcentral describes it as "long non-coding RNA (MESC_LNC012671)". The record is from RNAcentral. Lineage: Eukaryota; Viridiplantae; Streptophyta; Magnoliopsida; Malpighiales; Euphorbiaceae.